Molecule: non-coding RNA, 29 nt
Filed under: Mus musculus (house mouse)
Lineage: Eukaryota; Metazoa; Chordata; Mammalia; Rodentia; Muridae
Source: RNAcentral
UNGGAGCUGGAAUGGUGAUCAGGGUUUGG